CACUGCUGAAGAGUCUAAAACAGAACGAAAUAGCUAUCCAGGGC
Non-coding RNA from Echinostoma caproni, 44 nucleotides. The record is from Rfam. NCBI's taxonomy places the organism in Eukaryota, Metazoa, Platyhelminthes, Trematoda, Plagiorchiida, Echinostomatidae.